This 254-nucleotide ribosomal RNA is filed under the name uncultured bacterium. Its description in RNAcentral is "partial 16S ribosomal RNA". It matches the Rfam family "Bacterial small subunit ribosomal RNA", at positions 524 to 776 of the family's 1533-position model. The record is from RNAcentral.
UACGAAGGGGGCUAGCGUUGUUCGGAAUUACUGGGCGUAAAGCGCGCGCAGGCGGCUCUUUAAGUCUGACGGUGAAAUGCCGGGGCUCAACCCCGUGCCCGCCGCGGAUACUGGAGGGCUGGAGACACGUAGAGGCAAGCGGAAUUCCGGGUGUAGCGGUAGAAUGCGUAGAGAUCCGGAAGAACACCGGAGGCGAAGGCGGCUUGCUGGGCGUAGUCUGACGCUGAGGCGCGAAAGCGUGGGGAGCGAACAGG